RNAcentral lists this ribosomal RNA (94 nucleotides) under Acerihabitans arboris. RNAcentral describes it as "Enterobacteriales bacterium SAP-6 partial 23S ribosomal RNA". The stretch from base 1 to 82 matches the Rfam family "Bacterial large subunit ribosomal RNA", at positions 2844 to 2925 of the family's 2925-position model. Lineage: Bacteria; Pseudomonadati; Pseudomonadota; Gammaproteobacteria; Enterobacterales; Pectobacteriaceae. The record is from RNAcentral.
ACGAUGACGUUGAUAGGUCGGGUGUGUAAGCGCAGCGAUGCGUUGAGCUAACCGAUACUAAUGACCCGUGAGACUUAACCUUACAACACCUAAG